Molecule: ribosomal RNA, 491 nt
Filed under: uncultured bacterium
Lineage: Bacteria
Description: partial 16S ribosomal RNA
Rfam family: Bacterial small subunit ribosomal RNA
Source: RNAcentral
AGUGAACGCUGGCGGUAGGCCUAACACAUGCAAGUCGAACGGCAGCACAGUAAGAGCUUGCUCUUACGGGUGGCGAGUGGCGGACGGGUGAGGAAUACAUCGGAAUCUACUUUUUCGUGGGGGAUAACGUAGGGAAACUUACGCUAAUACCGCAUACGACCUACGGGUGAAAGCAGGGGAUCUUCGGACCUUGCGCGAUUGAAUGAGCCGAUGUCGGAUUAGCUAGUUGGCGGGGUAAGGGCCCACCAAGGCGACGAUCCGUAGCUGGUCUGAGAGGAUGAUCAGCCACACUGGAACUGAGACACGGUCCAGACUCCUACGGGAGGCAGCAGUGGGGAAUAUUGGACAAUGGGCGCAAGCCUGAUCCAGCCAUACCGCGUGGGUGAAGAAGGCCUUCGAGUUGUAAAGCCCUUUUGUUGGGAAAGAAAAGCAGCAGGUUAAUACCCCGCUGUUCUGACGGUACCCAAAGAAUAAGCACCGGCUAACUUCGU